Molecule: ribosomal RNA, 253 nt
Filed under: uncultured bacterium
Lineage: Bacteria
Description: partial 16S ribosomal RNA
Rfam family: Bacterial small subunit ribosomal RNA
Source: RNAcentral
UACAGAGGUCUCAAGCGUUGUUCGGAUUCAUUGGGCGUAAAGGGUGUGUAGGUGGCGCCGUAAGUCGGGUGUGAAAUUUCGGAGCUUAACUCCGAAACUGCAUUCGAUACUGCGGUGCUUGAGGACUGGAGAGGAGACUGGAAUUCAUGGUGUAGCAGUGAAAUACGUAGAGAUCAUGAGGAAGACCAGUGGCGAAGGCGGGUCUCUGGACAGUUCCUGGCACUGAGACACGAAGGCCAGGGGAGCAAACGGG